AUACUUGAGAUUCAGUAAAUAAGAUUAGCACCCAAAGCAGCUAUUAAAAGUUGAAAUCCAUGAUAGGAAAGUGCAUUGAGAUAUCAGUGCUAAGUGAUACAUUUCUUUUUAACAAGUGGACUAAAGCAAGACCUAUUCCUGAGCCGAGGGUCUAUUGGAAACAACCACUCUAUCUUCAUAUGUUAUUGUUACUAAAGCAAGAUCUACCACCAGCCCCUGCUGCCCUUACCCAUUUCGUCUCCCAUCGUGUUUGCCUAAAUGUAGUAUAUUUCUACAAAAAGAGUUUUCUGCUACCUAACCAAACGCUAGAAAGGGGAAAACCCUGAAAUCACCACCAAAAAAAAGGAGACAAGGAAUGGAAUCAUUUGGAAGAUAAUAAAUAAGAGGAAGAAAAUGAAUCUGACCUGAUCAUCAAAGAACCUCUCAGAAUGAGAAGAAAUGGAUCCAACAGAAGAGCUUUCUGUUUCACCACUGCCACUCGGACUCUUCUCCGAUGCCUUCCUCCGCCACAACCAACUCCGCCGGUCCAUCCAAAGGAAAAUUAACUCCUCAUUCCUCUUUAACUAAUAAUAUUCCUGUAAAUUCAUAUCCCAAACAAACUACAAAUUAAUCACCAAUAAUACUCAAGAACCAUAAAACCAAUUAUUCCCAAAUCCAUGAUUCUCACUCUAACAUUUAUGGAAAGAAGAUGGGGGAUUUUUUUAAUCUUAACUUUGAUUAGAAUUCACACCUCAAUUACCUAACACUAUGAAGUUGGAGUCAUUUCAAAACCCCCAAAAGAAGUAAAAUUUGAGAUAAGCUUCCUAUUUUGGACCCCAUGAAUGUAAUCGUUUCAACAACUCAUGUGCCUUUCCAUUCCCUAUAAGUAAUAAUUAGUGUGAAAGCCAAAGCAAAAAAUCAAAGCGCAAUUUUGGGGAUAACCCCCAAAUCACAACAAAAACUGAAAGAGAUUGUGACCCACCAGAAAAAGCUACCUUAACAGACACACCAGCGCCCCC
This 998-nucleotide long non-coding RNA is filed under the name Nicotiana tabacum (common tobacco). RNAcentral's name for it is "long non-coding RNA (NTAB_LNC001238)". The record is from RNAcentral. Lineage: Eukaryota; Viridiplantae; Streptophyta; Magnoliopsida; Solanales; Solanaceae.